Molecule: unclassified non-coding RNA, 166 nt
Filed under: soil metagenome
Description: partial internal transcribed spacer 1
Source: RNAcentral
CAGAGUUGCAAAACUCCCCAAACCAUUGUGAACCUUACCUUCAACCGUUGCUUCGGCGGGCGGGCCACAGCGCCCCCCGGGCCCCCCCCAGCGGGGCGCCCGCCGGAGGAUACCCAAACUCUUGAUACUUUAUGGCCUCUCUGAGUCUUCUGUACUGAAUAAGUCA